AUACACAGCCACACCACCCUGAAUAUGCCCAGAUCUCAUCUCAUCUAGGAAACUAAGCAGGGUCAGGCCUCAUUAGUACUUGGAAGGGAGGGAAUUAAAAUAUACAGAGGAGGGCAGCACCUGUGGCUC
RNAcentral lists this ribosomal RNA (129 nucleotides) under Otolemur garnettii (small-eared galago). The record is from RNAcentral. Lineage: Eukaryota; Metazoa; Chordata; Mammalia; Primates; Galagidae.